GCGGGGGUUCCCGAGUGGUCAAAGGGGCAGGACUUAAGAUCCUGUGUGCUUAGUGCCUGCGUAGGUUCAAAUCCUACCUCCCGCA
Molecule: transfer RNA, 85 nt
Filed under: Candidatus Pacearchaeota archaeon
Lineage: Archaea; Nanobdellati
Description: tRNA-Leu
Rfam family: tRNA
About the family: Transfer RNA (tRNA) molecules are approximately 80 nucleotides in length. Their secondary structure includes four short double-helical elements and three loops (D, anti-codon, and T loops).
Source: RNAcentral